GUAGGUGGCAAGCGUUGUCCGGAAUUAUUGGGCGUAAAGCGCGCGCAGGUGGUUCUUCAAGUCUGAUGUGAAAGCCCCCGGCUCAACCGGGGAGGGUCAUUGGAAACUGGGGAACUUGAGUGCAGGAGAGGAAAGUGGAAUUCCACGUGUAGCGGUGAAAUGCGUAGAUAUGUGGAGGAACACCAGUGGCGAAGGCGACUUUCUGGCCUGUAACUGACACUGAGGCGCGAAAGCGUGGGGAGCAAACAGGGAUUAGAUACCCUGGUAGUCCACGCCGUAAACGAUGAGUGCUAAGUGUUGGGGGGGGUUUCCGCCCCCUCAGUGCUGCAGCUAACGCAUUAAGCACUCCGCCUGGGAGUACGGUCGCAAGACUG
Molecule: ribosomal RNA, 374 nt
Filed under: uncultured organism
Description: partial 16S ribosomal RNA
Rfam family: Bacterial small subunit ribosomal RNA
Source: RNAcentral